GACGGACGUGACGAGGACAUAAAAAGCGUCAAAACUCCAAAUUCAAGAAAGAACCACUGCCUUUUGAUCACAGGAACUGAUCCCAGUCAGUUAAUGACGACUCUGAUUGGUAACCACGCUUCCGAAAGCCAGCCAAUCAACAACAGCCACGCCCGAGUACCAGCUUUCCAUGGCAGCAGAUGGCCAUGUGAACACAAACACAGACAGAGAACACCAUGUGAAGAUGGAGGCAGAGAUUGGAGUGAUGUACCUACAAGUUAAGGAAAGCCCAGGAUUGCUGACCAUCAGUUCCUGAAUGUCACAGAAGCUAGGAGAGAGGGAUUCUCUCUCAGAGCCCUCAGGAGGAACCAACCCUGCUGACACCUUGAUUUUGGACUUAUAACCUUCAGAACUGUGAGAAUAAAUUUCCAUUGCUUUAA
Molecule: long non-coding RNA, 419 nt
Organism: Equus quagga
Lineage: Eukaryota; Metazoa; Chordata; Mammalia; Perissodactyla; Equidae
Exons: 2
Source: RefSeq, a predicted model, not a curated record